GACGAACGCUGGCGGCGUGCUUAACACAUGCAAGUCGAGCGAUGAAAUUCUCUUCGGAGAAUGGAUUAGCGGCGGACGGGUGAGUAACACGUGGGUAACCUGCCUUAUAGUGGGGGAUAGCCUUUCGAAAGGAAGAUUAAUACCGCAUAAUAUUGUGGUUUCGCAUGAAACAACAAUUAAAGAUUUAUCGCUAUAAGAUGGACCCGCGGCGCAUUAGCUAGUUGGUGGGGUAACGGCCUACCAAGGCGACGAUGCGUAGCCGACCUGAGAGGGUGAUCGGCCACAUUGGGACUGAGACACGGCCCAGACUCCUACGGGAGGCAGCAGUGGGGAAUAUUGCACAAUGGGGGAAACCCUGAUGCAGCAACGCCGCGUGAGUGAUGACGGUCUUCGGAUUGUAAAGCUCUGUCUUUAGGGACGAUAAUGACGGUACCUAAGGAGGAAGCCACGGCUAACUACGUG
This 462-nucleotide ribosomal RNA is filed under the name uncultured bacterium. RNAcentral describes it as "bacterial SSU rRNA". It matches the Rfam family "Bacterial small subunit ribosomal RNA", at positions 28 to 507 of the family's 1533-position model. The record is from RNAcentral.